This 320-nucleotide unclassified non-coding RNA is filed under the name uncultured fungus. RNAcentral describes it as "sequence contains ITS1". The stretch from base 1 to 101 matches the Rfam family "5.8S ribosomal RNA", at positions 50 to 154 of the family's 154-position model. Lineage: Eukaryota; Fungi. The record is from RNAcentral.
AAAGUGCGACAAGUGUCAUGACUUGCAGAUACCCGAGAGCUGACAAAUUUCUGAAUGCAAAUUGCAGCCAAGUUAACCUGGCUAUACACUGCAGAGAGUACUUCGCGUAUGCGCUUACUCCAGAGUUGAGCACAACCGAAUGGUUGUCACUGUGGGACCUGCGAGAUUGAGCCUGUCGAUCUUCGGACUCCUUAGAUCUGGGCUCUCUCUUGUCAAAGUCAGAAAACCUUCGAGUUUUCCUGAACUAUCUGAGAAAAAGAGUUUAACCUCUUACCUCUCAUCUCGCACCUCUGCAAUGUAGGAGAACCCGCUGAACUUAA